AUACGUAGGGUGCGAGCGUUGUCCGGAAUUACUGGGCGUAAAGAGCUCGUAGGUGGUUUGUCGCGUCGUCUGUGAAAUUCCGGGGCUUGACUCCGGGCGUGCAGGCGAUACGGGCAUAACUUGAGUACUGUAGGGGAGACUGGAAUUCCUGGUGUCGCGGUGAAAUGCGCAGAUAUCAGGAGGAACACCGGUGGCGAAGGCGGGUCUCUGGGCAGUAACUGACGCUGAGGAGCGAAAGCAUGGGUAGCGAACAGGAUUAGAUACCCUGGUAGUCCACGCCGUAAACGGUGGGCGCUAGGUGUAGGGGUCUUCCACGACUUCUGUGCCGUAGCUAACGCAUUAAGCGCCCCGCCUGGGGAGUACGGCCGCAAGGCUAAAACUUAAAGGAAUUGACGGGG
Molecule: ribosomal RNA, 398 nt
Filed under: uncultured bacterium
Lineage: Bacteria
Description: partial 16S ribosomal RNA
Rfam family: Bacterial small subunit ribosomal RNA
Source: RNAcentral